Acanthopagrus latus (yellowfin seabream) is the source of this 450-nucleotide long non-coding RNA. RefSeq lists it as uncharacterized. The transcript has 3 exons. NCBI's taxonomy places the organism in Eukaryota, Metazoa, Chordata, Actinopteri, Spariformes, Sparidae. The record is from RefSeq and is a predicted model, not a curated record.
GUUUAUUCAGAGCCGCUCCUUGGUGGGCACCCAGAUGUAAGGACCGGACUGCUCCUCGAUCACCUGCUUCACCUGCGUGUACACCUCCUCUAGAGUUGAGCCCUGGACUACAGCUGCAGGCAGACAGAUGGAGAGGAACAAUAACGUGUUCAGUUGCAUGUCGGAGCUGAGUGGCAGCUUGUGUUUGUGUGGAAGGAACUAACCGGUGAAGUACUCUGUGAACUCCUGCUCCAGUUUGACAGCUCUGUCAAAGGUCUUCCUCGCCUGCUCCUCGGUGAAACGCUUGUUCAUCUCUCUGGAGACACGGGGUGAGAGUUACAAUAUCAAGGAUGUUGUCGACGUUGCGUGGUCUAAUGAAGAUAGCGAUGGGAUGGAGGCCCGCCAGCUGGAGACGCUUUAUGGCGUUCCCUGAUACAUCCAGAAUACAGUGUUUACCCUGGGAGAGACACA